GGUGGUUCUUGGGUGAUGCACCCCAGAAUCAGGCUCCCUCCUUUCUGGUUCCAGGUGCAUCACCCAAGAACCGCA
Molecule: non-coding RNA, 75 nt
Organism: Myotis brandtii (Brandt's bat)
Lineage: Eukaryota; Metazoa; Chordata; Mammalia; Chiroptera; Vespertilionidae
Source: Rfam